Molecule: ribosomal RNA, 220 nt
Filed under: Escherichia coli
Lineage: Bacteria; Pseudomonadati; Pseudomonadota; Gammaproteobacteria; Enterobacterales; Enterobacteriaceae
Description: partial 16S ribosomal RNA
Rfam family: Bacterial small subunit ribosomal RNA
Source: RNAcentral
AGAAGCACCGGCUAACUCCGUGCCAGCAGCCGCGGUAAUACGGAGGGUGCAAGCGUUAAUCGGAAUUACUGGGCGUAAAGCGCACGCAGGCGGUUUGUUAAGUCAGAUGUGAAAUCCCCGGGCUCAACCUGGGAACUGCAUCUGAUACUGGCAAGCUUGAGUCUCGUAGAGGGGGGUAGAAUUCCAGGUGUAGCGGUGAAAUGCGUAGAGAUCUGGAGGA